RNAcentral lists this unclassified non-coding RNA (742 nucleotides) under Hevea brasiliensis (rubber tree). The record is from RNAcentral. Lineage: Eukaryota; Viridiplantae; Streptophyta; Magnoliopsida; Malpighiales; Euphorbiaceae.
CUUCAUUUCAUCAUCAAUCAGUUGAGCCGCACACUCCGAUUUCUAUUAUAUCGAAUGAUACGACAAGACCUCUGCUUUCGCGCGCUGUUUCGAGCAUAGAUGUUCCACCGGAGAUUUACUCCGACGACUACGAAAGCGAAAGCAUUUAUGAGGAGGCAAAAGACUCCAUGAAAGAGAAGAACACAUUAUCAGUUUUGUGUUCCCUGAUAUCGAUAUUUAGGGUGGUAAGGUCCGGGAAUAGGCAUAUGAAGAGGCUUUUGGUGAUGAUUUCGCUCAAUGUUGCAUAUUCUACUGCGGAAUUGGGAAUUGGGCUGUUCACGGGGCGUGUUGGGUUGGUAUCUGAUGCAUUUCAUCUGACAUUUGGUUGUGGUCUCUUAACGUUUUCUUUAUUCGCCAUGGCUGCUUCUCGGGGAAAGCCUGAUCGUGUAUACACUUACGGGUACAAAAGGCUUGAAGUUUUGGCUGCUUUCACUAAUGCUCUGUUUCUUUUGUUCAUGUCAUUUUCCAUAGCAGUGGAGGCACUCCAUGCAUUCAUACAAGAUGAAUCUGAGCACAAGCAUUAUUUGAUUGUUUCUGCGGUGACAAAUUUAUUCGUAAAUCUUAUUGGUGUUUGGUUCUUUAGGAACUAUGCCCGCAUUAACCUUGUUUACAGAAAAGCAGAAGAUAUGAAUUACCACUCAGUUUGCUUGCAUGUCCUUGCUGAUUCCAUUCGUAGUGCAGGUUUGAUAUUGGCAUCCUGGUU